RNAcentral lists this ribosomal RNA (582 nucleotides) under Triticum aestivum (bread wheat). RNAcentral describes it as "partial small subunit ribosomal RNA". Lineage: Eukaryota; Viridiplantae; Streptophyta; Magnoliopsida; Poales; Poaceae. The record is from RNAcentral.
AUGGUCGAAGGCUCUGAGUUGGACAUCCCCAACCUUAAGUUCCUUCUUCUCUGCUUCCAACAAAUGUCUGGCCUUAAGAUAAACUUUGACAAGAGCGAUGUGAUGGUGAUGGGAUACUCUGAGGCCGAAUCCCUUGCCAUCACUAACCGGCUCAACUGCCGCCUUGGUUCAUUCCCCACGACCUACUUGGGAACGCCUAUUAGCGACUCUUGGCUCACCAUCGUGGAUCUACGCCCGACCGUGUCCAAGCUUCAGACGUGCAUCGAACCUUGGCAAGGCAGAUGGCUGUCUAAGGCGGCUCGGACCAUUCUCAUUGACUCGUCCCUCUCCAGCCUCCUCCUGUUCCUCACGAGCUUCUACAGCCUCCACGAGACUCUGCACCACGAGAUCGCCAAGAUCCAGUCCCGCUUCUAUUGGGCCGGCGACAACAAUAAGCAGAAAUAUCAUAUGGUCAGCUGGCCUGACAUUUGCAAGCCUAGGGAACAGGGCGGCCUCGGUAUCAUGUGCUCCAAGCGCAUGAACAUCGCCCUUAUCUCCCGAUGGCUCUGGCACAUCUCGCAAGGCCAUGGUGGCCUCUGGCUC